AGUGAACGCUGGCGGUAGGCCUAACACAUGCAAGUCGAACGGCAGCACAGUAAGAGCUUGCUCUUACGGGUGGCGAGUGGCGGACGGGUGAGGAAUACAUCGGAAUCUACUUUUUCGUGGGGGAUAACGUAGGGAAACUUACGCUAAUACCGCAUACGACCUACGGGUGAAAGCAGGGGAUCUUCGGACCUUGCGCGAUUGAAUGAGCCGAUGUCGGAUUAGCUAGUUGGCGGGGUAAAGGCCCACCAAGGCGACGAUCCGUAGCUGGUCUGAGAGGAUGAUCAGCCACACUGGAACUGAGACACGGUCCAGACUCCUACGGGAGGCAGCAGUGGGGAAUAUUGGCCAAAGGGCGCAAGCCUGAUCCAGCCAUACCGCGUGGGUGAAGAAGGCCUUCGGGUUGUAAAGCCCUUUUGUUGGGAAAGAAAAGCAGCAGGUUAAUACCCCGCUGUUCUGACGGUACCCAAAGAAUAAGCACCGGCUAACUUCGUG
This 492-nucleotide ribosomal RNA is filed under the name uncultured bacterium. RNAcentral describes it as "partial 16S ribosomal RNA". It matches the Rfam family "Bacterial small subunit ribosomal RNA", at positions 29 to 507 of the family's 1533-position model. The record is from RNAcentral.